GAAGAAUUCAUUUUUCUGAGAUGGAGAAAACCUUACCAAAGCUGUAUAGGGAAUGCCAAUGCUGAUUAUUCUCAUUUUUAAAAUAAGGAAACUUGGAGUCUGAAAGAGGAUAAUAGGCAAGAAAGGCAGAGGCAUAGAUGAGAGAAUAGCAAUAAACCAGGGAUGAAGGGAGCCCUGGUGACAAAAAGGACAUGGGAUUCUCUCUGUGGUCAAGAAGAUGGCAGUGAGAGGGGUAAAUUCACUCACUUACCCAUGGUCCUCUUUGGAGAGUGGAGUACCAAGGGUGACAAGCCUCAGCUGGCUGAGAUUGAGGUUUGUUUGGGCCCCAUUGUCACAGCAACAAGGGAAUGUUUGGUAACAGAGCCAGUGAUCUCACAGAAGCUGGUCAUAGCGACACCUUGUUGAAGCUCAGGGAAGAGCAGAGCCAUCCAGGAGAGAACUUGGAGGAAGAGGAAGACAAUAGUUUCCUUGGAAGAGCUCUCAGGGAAGAGCAGAGCCAGCCAGGAGAGAAUGUGGAGGCAGAGGAAGACAAUAGUUCCCUUGGAAGAGCUGUGACUACUAGAAAAGUACUGUCCUGGCUACCUGAUGGCUGUCCUUACAGGAGCUUGGCCUCUGGCCAAGCUCCAUCUUUAAUCUUUCUCUAUUCACCUCUCUGACCUGUGUGGUAUGGAUCUCUGGACUGGAAAAGCCUACGCAAUGGUCCUUUGAUCAGAGCUUAGCUGUGGCUCAUUGAUAAUUAAUAAAGACUCAUUCUGACCACCUCA
RNAcentral lists this long non-coding RNA (764 nucleotides) under Monodelphis domestica (gray short-tailed opossum). RNAcentral's name for it is "lncRNA (ENSMODG00000038196.1)". Lineage: Eukaryota; Metazoa; Chordata; Mammalia; Didelphimorphia; Didelphidae. The record is from RNAcentral.